This 118-nucleotide ribosomal RNA is filed under the name Pteropus alecto (black flying fox). The record is from RNAcentral. Lineage: Eukaryota; Metazoa; Chordata; Mammalia; Chiroptera; Pteropodidae.
AUCUACGGCCAUGCUACCCUGAACAUGCCUGAUCCCCUCUGAUCUUGGAAGCUAACCAGAGUUGGGCUAGCUGUACUUGGAUGGGAGACCACCUAGGAAUAGGUGUCUUCUGUAAGCA